Non-coding RNA from Microcebus murinus (gray mouse lemur), 172 nucleotides. Lineage: Eukaryota; Metazoa; Chordata; Mammalia; Primates; Cheirogaleidae. The record is from RefSeq and is a predicted model, not a curated record.
CCUGCCAGCAGUCCAGGGAACAUCCCAUACUACCAUCAUCUGGAGGCACUUCAUCGACGGACAGUACUGUAACUUCCAGUGAUUCUGGAUCAGAAAUUUUGAAUGUGGCUUCUAGUGACCUUGACGGUCAAUCACUCUGUAAGAAAGAGGAGGCUGCGUCUACCGUGAUGGA